ACUCCUACGGGAGGCAGCAGUAGGGAAUCUUCCACAAUGGGCGCAAGCCUGAUGGAGCAACACCGCGUGAGUGAAGAAGGGUUUCGGCUCGUAAAGCUCUGUUGUUAAAGAAGAACACGUAUGAGAGUAACUGUUCAUACGUUGACGGUAUUUAACCAGAAAGUCACGGCUAACUACGUGCCAGCAGCCGCGGUAAUACGUAGGUGGCAAGCGUUAUCCGGAUUUAUUGGGCGUAAAGAGAGUGCAGGCGGUUUUCUAAGUCUGAUGUGAAAGCCUUCGGCUUAACCGGAGAAGUGCAUCGGAAACUGGAUAACUUGAGUGCAGAAGAGGGUAGUGGAACUCCAGGUGUAGCGGUGAAAUGCGUAGAGAUCUGAAGGAAUACCAGUGGCGAAGGCGGCCCCCUGGACAGAUACUGACACUCAGAUGCGAAAGCUGGGGAGCAAACAGGAUUAGAUACCCUGGUAGGAUAGCG
Molecule: ribosomal RNA, 472 nt
Filed under: uncultured bacterium
Lineage: Bacteria
Description: bacterial SSU rRNA
Rfam family: Bacterial small subunit ribosomal RNA
Source: RNAcentral